This 1635-nucleotide long non-coding RNA is filed under the name Cucumis sativus (cucumber). Its description in RNAcentral is "long non-coding RNA (CSAT_LNC002518)". Lineage: Eukaryota; Viridiplantae; Streptophyta; Magnoliopsida; Cucurbitales; Cucurbitaceae. The record is from RNAcentral.
UCGGUGAUUGGGCCAAUUCGUAAUCCUUCUUGAUCGAUGAUUUUGUAUGCUCCAAUUGUGAAAACUUUUUGACGAUGUAGGGUCCGUCCCAUUUAUAUGUGAAUUUAUUUCUCAUAUGUCUCGUCGUGAUGAUAGGUCUUCUUACUGCAAGCACUAACUCACCAAGAAGGACAUGGCGGAGCAUAAAGGGGAGAGUGACAGCAGCAAAAGUGAUCGUCAUUGGAAAAGACCUUUGAAGAAAGGGAAGACAUCAGGUGAUGAAUCUUGUGGAAGGGGCUCGAGUGCUAUGGGAAUUCCCGAUGUCCCACCAUUGCUUUGCAUCUUUUCCUUCUUUAAUACUUUUCUUUUACUGUUCAUCUUCUUCGUGAGCGAUUUAUCUAUUGCUUAUUUCUGCAAUCACCUUUGGACGAUCAUCUUGAAGGACUUAUAGAUAUAGAUAGUGAUGAAUCACUAACUGGUUCUCAUAUGACUGAUACGGCCAUUGAGAAAGUUGGUAUUUCGAAGACACCAGCUGCAAAACCAGCCGAGAUGAUUUGUUGAGACAAGAUGAAAGUGGAUGGCAAAGACAUCGAGAAUCCUCCCUUCAGAGGAGGUGCCUGUCCUACAGUGCCUUCAACGAAUGUUACAUCUAUGACUGAACUUAAAGUGAACCUUAAGCUGCCUAUAUACCAUUUUUAUAACAUAAGGAUCAAGUCAUAACGUAGUUCAAUGGUUUUUUUUCAUGUGACUGAACUUAAAGUGAACCUUAAGUUGCCUACGUACCCUUUUUAUAACAUAGGGAUCAAGUCAUAACGUAGUUCAAUGGUUUUUUUUUCAUGUGACUGAGACUGAACUUAAAGUGAACCUUAAGUUGCCUACGUACCCUUUUUAUAACAUAGGGAUCAAGUCAUAACGUAGUUCAAUAGUUUUUUUUUUUUCAUGUGACUGAACUUAAAGUGAACUUUAAGCUUCAUACGUACCCUUUUUAUCACAUAUGGAUCAAGUCAUAACGUAGUUCAAUAUUUUUUUUCAUGUGACUGAACUUAAAGUGAAUAUUAAGCUGCCUACGUACCCUUUUUAUAACAAAGGGAUCAAGUCAUAACGUAGUUCAAUGAUUUUUUUUCAUGUGACUGAACUUAAAGUGAAUCUUAAGUUGCCUACGUACCUUUUUUAUAACAUAGGAAUCAAGUCACAACGUAGUUUAAUGUUUUUUUUUACAAAACAAAAUUAAGCAUAAAACUUCUUGAGAAAUUUAUCGGUGAUUGGGCCAAUUCGUAAUCCUUCUUGAUCGAUGAUUUUGUAUGCUCCAAUUGUGAAAACUUUUUGACGAUGUAGGGUCCGUCCCAUUUAUAUGUGAAUUUAUUUCUCAUAUGUCUCGUCGUGAUGAUAGGUCUUCUUACUGCAAGCACUAACUCACCAAGAAGGACAUGGCGGAGCAUAAAGGGGAGAGUGACAGCAGCAAAAGUGAUCGUCAUUGGAAAAGACCUUUGAAGAAAGGGAAGACAUCAGGUGAUGAAUCUUGUGGAAGGGGCUCGAGUGCUAUGGGAAUUCCCGAUGUCCCACCAUUGCUUUGCAUCUUUUCCUUCUUUAAUACUUUUCUUUUACUGUUCAUCUUCUUCGUGAGCGAUUUAUCUAUUGCUUAUUUCUGCAAUCACC